GCGGCGGGAUGGACCGGGAGCUGCUGCGUCAGGCGCUGAGCCACCACGGCCCCGCGCUGCUCUCGCUGCUCCGCGCCGAGCAGCACGACAACCCCGACUUCCGCGGGCUGCUGCCGCCGCCGGGAACCGCCUUCGAGCCGCCUCGCGGGGCCCCGCAGGCGCCGCCCGCCUGGAAAGAGUCGGCGAGCAUUGACACCGAGAUCAAGCGCUUCAUCGCCAAGAAGGCUGAUCUCCUUUUUGCUCACUCCUGGAAACCCAACGGACCCCUCUGCGAGACGAUCGAGGAGAAUGAAGAGUAUUACGCUGUUAUGCCUCCCCUGGAACGGUUCAUGGAGGUUCCCAGGGAAGACAGGAGAGAAUUUUUCUUUCGAGACAUUGAACGUGGUGAUAUCGUGAUUGGGAGGAUCACUUCUAUCCGAGAAUUUGGCUUUUUCAUGGUGUUGAUUUGUCUGGGAAGUGGUAUCAUACGGGAGAUUUCGGAUUUAGACCUCACUGCUCUUUGUCCUCUGAGAGAUGUGCCUCCUCAAAGCAACCAUGGAGAUCCGUUAUCUUAUUAUCAAACGGGAGACCUUAUUCGAGCUGCAGUCAAGGAUGUUGAUCGUUACCAUGAGAAGCUCACAGUGUCUCUUUACAGCUCAGCACUUCCCCCCAACCUUUCCAGCACAAAACUAGGUGUUAUUACUUCUGAUGACUUCCCAUUACAUUAUAGGAGAAGCCUGGAAGUUGCUAAUACAGGAGAGACUUUUGAAGAGGUUUUGCAUCGUUCCCCAGGAUUUGCUAAUCCGUUCCUAGUUGAAUAUUUGGCAGAAAAACUAGGACUAAGUGAAUCAAAUCCACCAUCUUUGAUGAGAAGUCUUCAAAUUAAAAAUUUCAGUGAAGAAGAUUUUGCCCCUGCACUGAGGAAGAAGCAGUCUGCAUCCUGGGCUUUGAAAUGUGUGAAGGCUGGGGUUGAUUAUUUUAAGGUCGGGCGCCAUGUGGAAGCCAUGAAUGAGUACAACAAGGCUUUGGAAAUUGAUCCACAGAACGUUGAAGCUUUGGUAGCACGUGGAGCGCUGUAUGCAACAAAAGGAAGUUUGAACAAAGCUAUAAGUGAUUUUGAAAUUGCUUUAGAAAACUGUCCAACCCACAGAAAUGCAAGAAAAUACCUCUGUCAGACACUUGUGGAGAGAGGCGGGCAGUUGGAAGAGGAAGACAAACUUCUAAAUGCUGAGAGUUACUACAAAAAAGCCUUAAGUUUGGAUGAGACUUUUGAGGAAGCAGAAGAGGCGUUAACGAAGCUCCGUAAGCACAUGCAGGUGAUUCUUUACUUUCUCUUCACAUAGUGCUUUCAGUGGCAAUAAACAAAACCUAAGAAAUCUUUUGAACAGGGAGAGUUUUAAGUUGAUGGUUUGUCUUAUUCUCUACUUCCCUUCUCCACAGUAAAUCUUAUAAGGUGAGCAUUAUGGCUGUACCUACCAGAAGAAAGGUACCUCUUGAUGACUCCACUGUUUUGAAUAGAGUAGUAAAGAAAAGCCAAAUCGUGGAGACAGGGAAAGAGCAAAGCCUGUUAACCCUGUCAGCUAGAUCAAGGAUCACAAUAGUACAUCACGCAGGCAUGAUGAGUAAUGUUAAAUUAAAACAUUCUGUGAAUACAGACAUGCAAAGGGCACACCACUAUACCAGCUAGAUCCUUGUUGUCUGGAGUAAUUACAAAAAGAGAGAGAACAGGAGUGAAAGCUAACUCACAGGAAGAUCACGGAGAGGGGAGAUUAAGAGGUAAUUUAAAAGAAAGUAGCAGGAGGUGAAGAGUGGGUGAGCAGACAGACUUGAAUAUCUUAGUGGUUUUCUCUGUUGCCUGUUUCUCUCCUCAUGCAUGCAGCAUGUUUCCCAAGUGAGCCCUGGUGGGUCUCUGUGCUAACCUGAGUUGUCUUUUUUGCUUUUGUUUCCUUCUUUUACUUAUGUUGUCUUUCAGAGAGGAUUAAAGAGUAAAAUGAGGAACAGGCUUGUUUUCUUCUUUGCUUCUGCCUGUAAGGAAGUACAUAAACUGGGGUAGAUGGCCCUAAUCAACACUUCUUCAGUUGGUGGAGCCAUAAUGCUGAUGGGUUGUGUUGAAAGAAAGGGGAAGAGGAGAUAUGACAAUCUCUUAAAUUAAACACUUGUAUGGUAUUUGAGCACUGUCCACAUAUGGCUACUUUAGAAAGAGGUGUCAGUCUGAGUUAAAAGGAUGAAUCUCUCAAAGCAGAAGAUAAAUUUUACUGUCCUUUAGCGCUUUCUUGCUAUAAGGCAUCACUGGUGCAGCAGAUAAAACCCACAGUGCUAGCUAUUGUUUGUUGGUUUGCAUAGCCUCAACUGCAGUUCAGGGUUUCCAUUAUUACAUUUGUUAAGACAGUUGCAAAGAUUUGAAAACAAUAAUGGGAUUUGCUGCUCACACUGCAUCUGAACUGCUGGUUAGGGCUGUAGAUGGCAGAAGUAAUAGACUAAUAGACUUCAGUAAUUUAAGGACUAUUCAUCUGGUGAGAUGUUGUGCAUUAUCUGUAUUUACAAACCUAAGUCUGAUACUGUUGCUGUUGUGCUAGAAUGGCUGAAACAACACUGAAGUGUGUUUUCCUGUAAUACUGAUUAUGUGUUUUUCUCCAAUGCAUUUUCUUCUGAAUUGGACCGUUGUUGCUGUAUCUGACAUCUGGUGCUGCUCAUCACCCACAAACCCUUGGAACAUGAUUUCUUACGUAAACUAUGCAUCAAACUGGUCUGUGAAAUUGUUACAAAACGAAAUCUUUGGAAAUGAGGGAGAAACAAGCUGCCAAAGAAGAGAGACAGAAAGAAAAGAAAGU
RNA transcript from Colius striatus (speckled mousebird), 2810 nucleotides. It is a transcript of the gene named tetratricopeptide repeat domain 14, with no coding region annotated. The transcript has 11 exons. NCBI's taxonomy places the organism in Eukaryota, Metazoa, Chordata, Aves, Coliiformes, Coliidae. The record is from RefSeq and is a predicted model, not a curated record.